RNAcentral lists this long non-coding RNA (300 nucleotides) under Carica papaya (papaya). RNAcentral describes it as "long non-coding RNA (CPAP_LNC014070)". The record is from RNAcentral. Lineage: Eukaryota; Viridiplantae; Streptophyta; Magnoliopsida; Brassicales; Caricaceae.
GUGUAAAAAUGAAAGAAAUUUGAAGGAUGAUGAAAUUGAAAACAAUUUUAGGAAAAAGAUGUGAAAAUUUGGGUUCUGGGGGUAUUUCUGAAAGAAAAAUCGAAAACUGAGAGUUAAAAUACAAUUUAAAAAUGUUGUGCCAUGUAGGAUACCCGAUCAGCAGCUCCGACAAACUAGAACAUGUCGCGUGGCAACAGACACUGAUGCGGUUCCACGCGGGAGAUCCGCGUGCCUGCAAUCGGACAGCCCAGAUCCGCUCUCGCGCAUACGGACGACCCAGAUGUGUGCACUCCCUAGACG